Non-coding RNA from Oesophagostomum dentatum (nodular worm), 102 nucleotides. The record is from Rfam. Lineage: Eukaryota; Metazoa; Nematoda; Chromadorea; Rhabditida; Strongylidae.
GUUCAUUCUUGGAUAUAUGUUAAAAUUGGAACAAUACAGAGGAUAUUAGAAUGGUCCCUGCGCAAGGAUGACACGCAAAUUUUUGAAGCGUCCCAAAUUAUA